RNAcentral lists this ribosomal RNA (113 nucleotides) under Candidatus Syntrophonatronum acetioxidans. Lineage: Bacteria; Bacillati; Bacillota; Clostridia; Eubacteriales; Syntrophomonadaceae. The record is from RNAcentral.
GUGGAAAUGGCGGAGGGGCUACACCCGUUCCCAUGCCGAACACGGAAGUUAAGUCCUCCAGCGCCCAUGGUACUCGGGACGCAAGUCCCCGGGAGAGUAGGUCUCCGCCAGGA